AACUCGAAGAGAAUGUGCUUUAGGUAUUGAAGCUUUACUCUUUGUCUGAGCAUUUAGUAAUAGAUCACUGUGCAGUACAUUUCUCCUGUGGAGGUAGCUUUGUUGUGAAAAUGUGUACUUUCUUUGCUUCAAAUCAAAUGUCAUAUUCUCCAUUCAGUUCUGUCAAUUUGAUGUUCACUUCGUAGAAUUUAUAUUAUCACUUGUAUAUAAUGGCAAGUCCAAUUACUCCUACUUUUUCAGGUUAAUUGAGCAACCAUAGUCCAUCAGCUAACUUUUUGUCCCACAUUCCCACUUCUUGUAAAUCGAUGCACAUACUAGUUACUACCUAAUAACCUAUUACUUAGUCCUUGUGCAACCAUAAGAAACCAUGCAAAAACAAACAUGCUAUUCUAUCCAUGGUUACUACCUAAUAAACUAUUACUUAAUCGUUGUGCAACCAUAAGAAACCAUGCAAAAACAAACAUGCUAUUCUAUCCGUAAGGCAGUGAAUAGUUGGCUAGUUCACUUUGUAAACUAGUAUUAUUUAUUCAAGUGAAAUUUUCGUUUAAUUCUAUUGUAGCUUACGAACUUCCAUGCAAGUUCUAAUAGUGUUUUUUUUUCUUUCAGAAGACCUCAUGGUCAUGCUUGUGUGUGGUUCUGAUCUAUUAGAAUCUUUCAGCACACCUGGAGUUUGGAUACCGGAGCAGGUAACUUCAUUUAAAGGGGUUUAUCAGAAGCAAAAUACUUCCUCCCCCAUGUUGGAUUGAAGUUAUGCUACACCUGGAGUUUGGAUACCUGAGCAGGUAACUUCAUUUAAAGGGGUUUAUCAGAAGCAAAAUACUUCCUCCUCCAUAUUGGAUUGAAGUUAUGCUCUUAGAAGUGUUGUGCAGAA
Molecule: long non-coding RNA, 871 nt
Filed under: Nicotiana benthamiana
Lineage: Eukaryota; Viridiplantae; Streptophyta; Magnoliopsida; Solanales; Solanaceae
Description: long non-coding RNA (NBEN_LNC039775)
Source: RNAcentral